This 110-nucleotide non-coding RNA is filed under the name Lentilactobacillus parabuchneri. RNAcentral's name for it is "THF riboswitch". It matches the Rfam family "THF (Tetrahydrofolate) riboswitch aptamer". Rfam says of the family: THF riboswitch presents a pseudoknot that joins P1-P2 and the loop of P3 and two THF binding. Lineage: Bacteria; Bacillati; Bacillota; Bacilli; Lactobacillales; Lactobacillaceae. The record is from RNAcentral.
GGGGUAGGAAUCAGCGCGUUAAGUGUCGAAGGAACGGAAUGUGAACUUCGAACGAAAGGUGUUCGGCUACGACUUGUCGGAUACUUGCGGUGCUGGUUGCGCAUUCGCUA